This 78-nucleotide transfer RNA is filed under the name Escherichia coli 101-1. Its description in RNAcentral is "tRNA-Lys". It matches the Rfam family "tRNA". From Rfam's summary of the family: Transfer RNA (tRNA) molecules are approximately 80 nucleotides in length. Lineage: Bacteria; Pseudomonadati; Pseudomonadota; Gammaproteobacteria; Enterobacterales; Enterobacteriaceae. The record is from RNAcentral.
UGGGUCGUUAGCUCAGUUGGUAGAGCAGUUGACUUUUAAUCAAUUGGUCGCAGGUUCGAAUCCUGCACGACCCACCAG